GUUGAACGUCAUCAGUGCGCGCAGCUCUAUAUGUCCGGCGGGUGGAGAUAACGCGCCUCGGCCUGUUCGCUGUGAGGGGGCUGCGCUGCUAUGGCGGCUGUGGGAGCUGCUAUGGCGGCUGUGAGUGAGCGGCCCCACGGCAGGAGGGGAGGUAGGAGGUGACAAGGUGUCAGGCCGGCUGGUGGUUCCCCUCAGGGGUCGCGCUGUGGAGGGACCUUCGUGCGGCCUGAGUGGAAGCGUCCAGCAGAGAGUGGAGGGGGAGCGGGAACCGCAGCUCCUGAGGCUUACGAUGUCACUGCCAACAAAAAGGUGUGGGGCACCCCCGGUGUUGUCUUCUUUGGGGAAGAAAAAGAGGAAACAAGGUCUCGAUAGGAGCAGAGGGAAAACCAGGAUUUAUGUGGGGAACCAUAUUGACUGAUGGCUGACACUGAAGGGAAAACUGGAUUUCAGAAAUGAUGCAGAAGUUGCUGGAUUUUUAUUGGACUUGUCUGACAGCUACGACCUGCUGACAGAAGCUCCCGUCUGUUCCCUCCCUGGGGGUGUGAGAAGACUUAACAUGAGAGAAGGAAGAACAUUGUCAGACAGCACUUGUUUAAUAGCAGCUGAUGGAAUGUUAUUGGUGUGAUCUCUUUAUAUGUAGAGGGGGCAAAUGAAAUAAUUUUCUUACAGUACUCCAAAGAUUGCAGUUGAGAGGAGGAUGUGGAAGGAACGAGAAAAUAAAAUCAAGUGUAUCAUUUGGCAGUCAUCUCCAGAAUCCUUUCUGUUCAAUGCUGUGUUUGUAUUGUUAAGGAUGUAAUGGUGGUCUAGACAAAACAAAACAUCUUCACAGAGAAAUACAUUGCAGUUAUAAUUUUGGGAUGGAUUUGCAGGUAUGAUGGUGGUGACCAGUCGUCUAAAGAGGCUGCUUGUUCUGAAUGUGGAGACUUCAGAAUUGUCACUGUGAAAGAAGAGCGAGAGAUGCCACCUCAUUGCUCACCAGUGGAGGCAGAUAACACGUUAGUGAUACCAUGGGGUUCUUUUUGCAUGCUUUACGUUUGAAAAUGUUUUGUAUUGACUUUUAUUAUCACUUUUAAUUUAGCUUAUCAGAAACUCACAUCAUUCACGCUCUGAUUCAUUACUUCAAAGUUAAUAGGGGAUGAUCACAGUCACUGUGAGGGAAACAUCUGGGAGAGCUUUUGGAAGAGCUGUUUCUUAGAGUGUGCGCAGCAAACGUCUUGUUUAGUGACUUGUCUACCUGAAGUCUGCAAAUGGAACAAGAAAACAGCUAAUACAUGUGGAAUAUUGGCUACCUUAGUAAAUAACGAGGUUUUCAGUCAUGCAGUAUUACAGGCACAUGUGUGCUUUAGCUUUUUAGAAAACAGAAAUGUUUCUUUCUUGACUGCUCAAGCAGUAACACAUACAGAGUGAUGUGUAAACCUGCUUAGAAGUAGUGCUGUGCUCAAGGAGGCAACCACGCCAUCAGUCGACUGCUGAUGUCUUCUACUGCAGUGUCAUCAGUAGCUGAAGCAUUCACAGUUGAGAGAUCAGAGGAGCCUCAAGUAGGUGUGCUUGUCAUUUACUAUCUAUUCAGGUUUCAAUUAUCCACAAGUGUUACUGAGUAAUUAUGAUUUUCUCCAUGUUUUGGUUCAGACCUUUACAAAUGUAUCUUUUAAUACACGCAGGGGGACACUGAGAACGUAGGACAUUGCAUUGGCAUUGCAUGGUGUGUCCAAACCCUUCGCUCAUAUGAAUAGGUGAAUGUGUUGGUGUUCUGGGAGUAAUUCACUGGCUCAGAAGAAUUAGGAGAAGCUGGAUCAGGAGAAAACCAAUAGCAGUGCUGGUUAAGCUGAGAACUUCAAGGGCAUUCUUAUGACAAUAUGGUUUGGGGUUGGAGUGCUUCAAUACUUUAAUUUCUGAGACUGGCUUUCUGCAGGUGAGACAGAGAUUGUUCUUAACUGAUUGCUUCUUUCUACCCUUUUUUAGAUGUGAGCAAUAAUUAGACAAGUUGUUCAGGGCGUGUGUGUGUGUUUGAAUUCAUGCUGAUUGUAUGGACGAACAAUCAGGUAGGUAUGCAGUGUUAGUUGUAUAAAGAUAAGGAAAGACAACAGUUGAAGAACAAAAAGAUCAGAAAUAAAUAGUAUUUUAUAGGUAAGAUAUCUGAGGACAUACCAUGUUAUUGGGUGGAAGAUUAACCUGCCUGAAGUGGAGAAGUAGUUGCAUGGUCUGUCUAUGAGUGUAGUAACCGUUGUGUGUUCCAGUCUGUGGUCACCACGUCAUCAGUCAUAGUUCUGUUUUUCGUUUAUAGUGUGUUGCUGAGGUACAGUGAUAAUGGUACAUGGGGGUUCUUUGUAGCUGUGGGAAAUUCAUAUAGUGAUUAAGUCAUUUCCAUAGGGUCGUGCUAAUAGCUGAACUUCAGCCUUAGAAGUAAAGUGUGACUCUGUGGCUUUAGACAGAUGUGCAAAUUCUUGGUUCUUUUAGAAAAUAGUGGGUUUUCUUCUGAAAAGGGACAGUGUUAAAGGAAAAUGUCAGAGACCAAACCCUUUAAAAAUCCAUUGUUUGUGAAGGUGUGGCACUGUGCUUCCUGUUAAAGGGUGGAGAUGAAGCUACUGCUUUUCAGGCAUUGGAGUGUUUUGUUUUUAGGCUGAUAUUAUUGUUUCAGAAAACACAGAGCGUGUCUUUUUUAUUUGUGCAAUGAUAUAAGGGCCAGGCAAAGAACCACAUGCAGCAUUGUUUCUGCAGAGAGGUCUUUUUGAAGGUGCUUUAUUGAGAAAUUAUGCAUUAAUAAUCACAAAGCAGCUGUUUUAUUCUAGGCCAUUUACAAUCUAGUCAGGUAGGCUGGCUGAAAACAUUGAGGAACUGUAAGUAGCAAAUAUAAUGGAGGAAAAAACACUUUAAAUUAAUCUGAUUUUUUAGUGGCGUUAAUGUUUGGUUUCUGUCUUGCUUUUGGAGUCUUGCCCUGUGGUGUUUGCUUUCAGAGCUUGCUCCUGUUGGAGAUUCUGGAAUGGAAGCUCUUCUGUUAUUAAGAAGAGGACCUUUAUAGUUUAUAUAGUUUAUAUGUAAUUUAGGACCUUUAUAGUCCUAUGUCCUAUUUUUGGUUUUCAGUGUUCAUAGCUUCUUUUUUCAAUAACAUCAUAAGAAAAGACAAACCACCAUCUGUGAUUCUUUCACUGAUAUAACUCAAGGCACUGCUGCACAUUUGCUUUCUCCUUGCAGAAGAUGAGGUGAUUAGUCUGAGACAUAAUGCACUUAAUUAAGUGGUUUAUUUUGUUGCCAUGCCUAACGUUGAUCUGUAUUUUGCUACAGUGAAAUCACACAUCAAAAGUAUAAGAUGUUGUUCUGAUUGUAUCUAUUGCACGUACAAAAGCACAAACAGGCUGAUGACAUCGUUUCAGAGUCAGAAAUUAUUAGAAGAAUGAAUGUGCUGGUGAUACUUGUUGAAAUAAUGCAGACAUUUCAUGUUUUGGUAUUUAAAUGUCACUUUAUAAUCAUUAUUAUUGUGUUACUUUUCAGGGUAACCAGCAAGAAGAAAAUCAAGCACUUGAAUAAUGACUCUGGGGCAGUUCUUGGUCCUCUUUGGUUUUGCUGUGUUAUGUGAGUUACAAAGAGUGACUGUAAGUUCUAGUAUGAAACCCCAUGUAACUUGUUGAACAAUUAAACUUUAAUUACCUAAAGUUCUGUUGUGUUACCUUAACAUUAAUAAAGCGCGUGGAGUGGAUUUACUUAA
Coturnix japonica (Japanese quail) is the source of this 3703-nucleotide non-coding RNA. NCBI's taxonomy places the organism in Eukaryota, Metazoa, Chordata, Aves, Galliformes, Phasianidae. The record is from RefSeq and is a predicted model, not a curated record.